Molecule: ribosomal RNA, 404 nt
Filed under: uncultured soil bacterium
Lineage: Bacteria
Description: bacterial SSU rRNA
Rfam family: Bacterial small subunit ribosomal RNA
Source: RNAcentral
CAGCAGCCGCGGUAAUUCGGAGGGUGCAAGCGUUAUCCGGAUUCACUGGGUUUAAAGGGUGCGUAGGUGGGCAGGUAAGUCAGUGGUGAAAUCUCCGGGCUUAACCCGGAAACUGCCAUUGAUACUAUCUGUCUUGAAUAUCGUGGAGGUGAGCGGAAUAUGUCAUGUAGCGGUGAAAUGCUUAGAUAUGACAUAGAACACCAAUUGCGAAGGCAGCUCACUACGCGAAUAUUGACACUGAGGCACGAAAGCGUGGGGAUCAAACAGGAUUAGAUACCCUGGUAGUCACGCCCUAAACGAUGGAUACUCGACAUACGCGAUACACAGUGUGUGUCUGAGCGAAAGCAUUAAGUAUCCCACCUGGGAAGUACGACCGCAAGGCUGAAACUCAAAGGAAUUGACGG